RNAcentral lists this ribosomal RNA (497 nucleotides) under uncultured bacterium. Its description in RNAcentral is "partial 16S ribosomal RNA". It matches the Rfam family "Bacterial small subunit ribosomal RNA", at positions 28 to 507 of the family's 1533-position model. The record is from RNAcentral.
GAUGAACGCUGGCGGCGUGCCUAAUACAUGCAAGUCGAGCGAACAGACCAUGCUCUUGCUCCUCUCACGUUUGCGGCGCACGUGUGUGUCACACCUGUAUAACCUACCUAUCUUUCUGGUAUCACUUCGGGACUCCGGCUCUAAUCCCGUAUAAUCUAUUGAUCCGCAUUGUUCAUUAGUGAAUUACGGUUUUUCUGUCUCUUAUAGAUGGUUCCGCGCCGCAUUAGCUAGUUGGUAAGGUAACGGCUUACCAAGGCAACGAUGCGUAGACGACAUGAGAGGGGGAUCGGCGACACGGGAACGGAGACACGGACAAGAGUACUACGGGAGGGAGCAGAAGGGAAUGUGAGGCAAUGGGGGAAAGGAUGACGGAGCAAGGGCGCGUGAGAGAAGAAGGUGUUGGGAGCGUAAAACUCUGUUAUGAGGGAAGAAAAAAAGUGUAAGAAAAUAAGGAGGGAGUGACGGUAACUAAAAAGAAAGCAACGGCUAACUACGUG